Non-coding RNA from Mycena rebaudengoi, 93 nucleotides. Lineage: Eukaryota; Fungi; Basidiomycota; Agaricomycetes; Agaricales; Mycenaceae. The record is from the annotation of a GenBank genome assembly.
GCCCUGGUUGAUUAAUGGAAAUCACCCACAUCCCAUGCGGUUUGAUCCAGGGGAUUGAUGCGGGAGACGGAGGUUCGAAUCCUCCCCAGGGCA